This 354-nucleotide unclassified non-coding RNA is filed under the name soil metagenome. RNAcentral's name for it is "partial contains 5.8S ribosomal RNA, internal transcribed spacer 2, and large subunit ribosomal RNA". The stretch from base 2 to 120 matches the Rfam family "5.8S ribosomal RNA", at positions 36 to 154 of the family's 154-position model. The record is from RNAcentral.
UAUGAAGAACGUAGCGAAAUGCGAUAAGUAAUGCGAAUUGCAGAAUUCAGUGAAUCAUCGAAUCUUUGAACGCACAUUGCGCCCGCUAGUAUUCUGGCGGGCAUGCCUGUCUGAGCGUCAUUUCAACCCUCGCCCCCGGCUUUUGCUGGGAGCGGUGUUGGGGAUCGGCCGCCCGUCACUGGGAGGCCGGCCCCGAAAUAGAGUGGCGACCACGCCGUGUGCUCCUCUGCGUAGUAGUAAAUCACCUCGCAGGCGGACAGCGGUGCGGCCUGCCGUAAAACCCCCAACUCUUUCUGGUUGACCUCAGAUCAGGUAGGAAUACCCGCUGAACUUAAGCAUAUCAAUAAGCGGAGA